This 450-nucleotide ribosomal RNA is filed under the name uncultured bacterium. RNAcentral describes it as "partial 16S ribosomal RNA". It matches the Rfam family "Bacterial small subunit ribosomal RNA", at positions 354 to 796 of the family's 1533-position model. The record is from RNAcentral.
GCUAAGAAUCUUCCGCAAUGGGCGAAAGCCUGACGGAGCGACGCCGCGUGAACGAAGAAGGCCGUGAGGUUGUAAAGUUCUUUUCGGGAGGGGGAACAACCGUGGCAGGGAAUGGCCGCGGGAUGACGUGAAUCCCGGAAUAAGCCCCGGCUAACUACGUGCCAGCAGCCGCGGUAACACGUAGGGGGCGAGCGUUGUUCGGAAUCAUUGGGCGUAAAGGGCGUGCAGGCGGUCCUGCAAGUCCGGCGUGAAAGACCCCGGCCCAACCGGGGGGACGCGCUGGAAACUGCAGGGCUUGAGUACAGGAGGGGAUGCCGGAAUUCCAGGUGUAGGGGUGAAAUCUGUAGAUAUCUGGAAGAACACCAAUGGCGAAGGCAGGCAUCUGGCCAUGUACUGACGCUGAGACGCGAAGGUGCGGGGAGCAAACAGGUUUAGAUACCCGGGUAGUCC